GUACGCGGACGGCCGCGCCUCCCCAUUACAUUCAAUCCGGGACGACCCGA
This 50-nucleotide non-coding RNA is filed under the name Roseibium alexandrii. RNAcentral's name for it is "Labrenzia alexandrii Guanidine-II sequence". It matches the Rfam family "Guanidine-II riboswitch aptamer (mini-ykkC)". Rfam says of the family: Simpler in structure and has fewer highly conserved nucleotide positions than the ykkC-yxkD leader. Despite this each of its two stem-loop structures directly bind free guanidine. The record is from Rfam by way of RNAcentral. Lineage: Bacteria; Pseudomonadati; Pseudomonadota; Alphaproteobacteria; Hyphomicrobiales; Stappiaceae.